RNAcentral lists this long non-coding RNA (845 nucleotides) under Salmo salar (Atlantic salmon). RNAcentral's name for it is "lncRNA (ENSSSAG00000122011.1)". Lineage: Eukaryota; Metazoa; Chordata; Actinopteri; Salmoniformes; Salmonidae. The record is from RNAcentral.
GGUGGGGUGGAGGAUGGGGAGGGUUUGAGGGAGUAGGGGUAGAUGGUGAGUUCAGCUACAUGCUACUGUAGGUUACUCCCCCAUAUGGCUGAGUUCUGUUCAGCUACUUUAGGUUACUCUCCCAUACGGCUAAGUUCUGUUCAGCUGCUUUAGGUUACUCUCCCAUAUGGCUGAGUUGACUGUUCAGCUACUGUAGGUUAUUCUCCCAUAUGGCUGAGUUGACUUUUCAGCUACAUGCUACUGUAGGUUAUUCUCCCAUGCUACUGUAGGUUACUCUCCCAUGCUACUGUAGGUUACUCUCAUGCUACAGUAGGUUACUCUCCCAUGCUACAGUAGGUUACUCUCCCAUGCUACAGUAGGUUACUCUCUCCCAUGCUACUGUAGGUUACUCUCCCAUGCUACUGUAGGUUACUCUCUCAUGCUACUGUAGGUUACUCUCCCAUGCUACUGUAGGUUACUCUCCCAUGCUACAGUAGGUUACUCUCCCAUAUGACUGUAGGUUACUCUCCCAUGCUACUGUAGGUUACUCUCCCAAGCUACUGUAGGUUACUCUCCCAUGCUACUGUAGGUUACUCUCCCAUGCUACUGUAGGUUACUCUCCCAUGCUACUGUAGGUUACUCUCCCAAGCUACUGUAGGUUACUCUCCCAUGCUACUGUAGGUUACUCUCCCAUGCUACUGUAGGAUAAUAUCUGGAUUGUUUCAUAAUAACUCUUGUCUGGUGUGGGAUGUGCAGUUCCGGAGUGCAGAGAAUAACUUGUACUGAUGUGGAUUGGAGCAAACAAACCAUCUACAUAGUGGUGAUGUGUACGUUUUAGAUUAUAUUAUUACUAUUAUUUUAUUAAG